UACGUAGGGGGCUAGCGUUGUCCGGAUUUAUUGGGCGUAAAGAGCGUGUAGGCGGCCAGGUAGGUCUGGUGUGAAAACUCGAGGCUUAACCUCGAGAUGUCAUCGGAAACCAUUUGGCUAGAGUCCGGAAGAGGAGAGUGGAAUUCCUGGUGUAGCGGUGAAAUGCGCAGAUAUCAGGAGGAACACCAGUGGCGAAGGCGGUUACCUGGAGCUUUGCUGACGCUGAGGCGCGAAAGCUAGGGGAGCAAACGGG
This 253-nucleotide ribosomal RNA is filed under the name uncultured bacterium. Its description in RNAcentral is "partial 16S ribosomal RNA". It matches the Rfam family "Bacterial small subunit ribosomal RNA", at positions 524 to 776 of the family's 1533-position model. The record is from RNAcentral.